Molecule: long non-coding RNA, 1475 nt
Filed under: Betta splendens (Siamese fighting fish)
Lineage: Eukaryota; Metazoa; Chordata; Actinopteri; Anabantiformes; Osphronemidae
Description: lncRNA (ENSBSLG00000016176.1)
Source: RNAcentral
AUGUCUUCGGAGAGGCACUUCUUCAGCACUUCUGCAAGGGCGCAGCCAUCUUGGGUUGCACCCACAAUGCACCGUUGGGGCGGCGAGAUUGUCGUGAAACGUCACCGCCGCUGUGGUGUCACACCAAAAUAUAAACACGCGCGUGUACACGAGGGACAACGAUUCGAGUGUUCACUACAGGAGGGGAACCAAUUCAAUCUCCUGGGUGUGAUAGAGGUUGGGACCUUGGGAAAGCUGGUAGCUAACAGGUGAGAAGAAAGAGAAAUUUUGUCUCAGUUUUUCUCCUCAUCCACCUGUUCUUCAUGGGGGGAACAGCUGGACUUAACCAUCUCCUGGUUCCAGAAAACCCAGGCAGGAAAAGCAGAAAAUCUGGUUUCAGAUGAAAGACUCUGACGACGCCUGACUGAAAAGCUAACCCUGAGUUCACAUUAAAGAUUCUCCAUCCACCUUAAUUGUGCACUAAUUGAGGUUUCAAACCAGGAUCACGGUGCAUCGAUCGGAACACGGCUGCAGCAUUUAGCGCUUCGAGCGGCAAUAAUAGUAAGAGCGUAAUGACUACUCUCAGUCUGUGGCGUCCAGUGAAAGCCUCCGUCUUCAGAACUCACACUUACCACUAAUUGAGAAUUUAAAUUGCAAAUCCAUCAAAUCCCUGAUGAAAAUUAGCAGGAGAAUGAUGCUGCAGCGUGAGCUUCAACAAAUGUUUGCCAGAUGUUAUAACAUUAUCCUCGCUAUCAUGAGCUUAAUGACAUGUACUGUAGUGUGGGUUUGAUUCUGGGAUGGAGGCUUUGACAGCACCAGAUUUUCAGUAAUUAAUUCAGUCAUCUGUUAUUUACUCAUAAAUCAAUUGUUUGUUUGAUCUCUAAGCUGAACCACGUUUGUUUUAAAGAAGCCCAGAGAGCAGGCAGCGACUGGCUGCUUGACUGUAAAGGCUGCUGACUGGUGCAGAGGAUCUCCAGUGUUUUCAUGCGCGUGGGGAGACUGGCUCCUUCAUUCUGAGUGAGAUGUUUGCUUACGUGUGCUGCCUGUGUUUUUCUGCUUCCUGUGUGUCUCAUUCCCUCUUGCUGUGUAUUUAUACCCACCUCUUGUGUCUUUCAGUUCCCAGGUUCAUCAGCAUUUCCUGCCCAGUUCCAUGUUUUGUUUUUUCAUUUAUUGUAAAAUCUGAGCUUUGUGUUUCAACACAAACAUAUAGCUGUUAAUUACCACACAGCAAAAAUAUACAACUUUUACUUAAAUAUAAAUAUUUUUACUUACAUAUUGUUCCUUCUGGAUUUCUGCAUCCAGGAAGUGUGAGCUGAAAGAUGCUAAAGUUUUAACCAUCACAAUGUGUAUAUAUAAAUGGUUAAAAAUGGAAUUAUAUACUUUCCACAUCCUAUUAGUUUAAUGUUUGAAUGAGCUCAUGCAUCUGUGUUCAAUCUUCAGUUGCUCUAUUUUUGUCAGAAAAUGAUAAUAAAUAGUAACUUAACAUACUGACUUCA